Molecule: long non-coding RNA, 756 nt
Organism: Frieseomelitta varia
Lineage: Eukaryota; Metazoa; Arthropoda; Insecta; Hymenoptera; Apidae
Exons: 2
Source: RefSeq, a predicted model, not a curated record
AUUAUUACAACUAAUUAUUGCAAUAUGUGUUUAACAUCAGUAAAAAAACAAUCUAUUACGAAUGACUUUAGUAUUGUAAUAAUUCACGAUUCCUCCUGUUAAACAAAGUAUCAAAUAAAUUUAUUGAUGAAACUUGUAACACAACUAUGUCUAAAAAAUUUGUCUGUUGGUAAUAAUUAACCUGAAACGACCGUGCGUAAUUAUCAAAUAGAAACCGCAAUGUGCGUAAUCCGGAUACGAAUGGUAACCGCAAAUUAGUGCGAACAAAAUGAAAGGUAGAAGGGGAAUUGGAAUAAAAGCAAUGUAUUUUAUGUGUAUUUGCAUUCCGCUAGUGUCCGACUUUUGGUUCGACGAUAGCUUGCUAAAAAGCAAAACGAUCUAAGAAAGUCAUAUCGAUUCAUAGUUUGUAAUCUGUGUGAACGCGAUGUCACCGUUACGUCUCAUUAUCUUCGCCGUUUUGCUGUGCGUUUUCAUCGUUACAAGUGAAUCAAGACCUCUUACUUUCCCAAAAAGGAAAAAUACUGGUACAAAAGAAUGUCCACCGGGAUACAGAUACGUUCGUAACCUAGGCUGUAGGAAAAUCAUAUCGCUUGCGACCUAAAACGUAAAAUCUAGAUAAACAGCGUAUCUCCAAGCAACUAUGUAACUGGAAUCUUUUUGGAUGCGUGAGAAAUUAAUCAACGGCGUAUCUUUUCCAACUUAUUUUCCAUUUGAUGUAAAGAUGUAAAAUAAAUAACGAUAUAUAUCGAUGAUAAA